UACGAAGGGUCCAAGCGUUAUCCGGAUUUAUUGGGUUUAAAGGGUGCGUAGGCGGCUUAUUAAGUCAGUGGUGAAAGCCUGCAGCUUAACUGCAGAACUGCCAUUGAUACUGAUGAGCUUGAAUAUACUUGAGGUGGGCGGAAUGUGUCAUGUAGCGGUGAAAUGCUUAGAUAUGACACAGAACACCGAUUGCGAAGGCAGCUCGCUAAAGUAUGAUUGACGCUGAGGCACGAAAGCGUGGGGAGCAAACAGG
This 253-nucleotide ribosomal RNA is filed under the name uncultured bacterium. RNAcentral's name for it is "partial 16S ribosomal RNA". It matches the Rfam family "Bacterial small subunit ribosomal RNA", at positions 524 to 776 of the family's 1533-position model. The record is from RNAcentral.